AGAAUUUGAUCCUGGCUCAGGAUGAACGCUAGCUACAGGCUUAACACAUGCAAGUCGAGGGGCAUCAUGACGAUAGCUUGCUAUGUUGAUGGCGACCGGCGCACGGGUGAGUAACGCGUAUCCAACCUUCCCUUAGUAGGGCAUAGCCCGGCGAAAGUCGGAUUAAUACCCUAUGUUAUUCGUAGAGGACAUCUGAAAUGAAUCAAAGAUUUAUCGCUAAGGGAUGGGGAUGCGUCCGAUUAGGUAGUCGGCGGGGUAACGGCCCACCGAGCCUUCGAUCGGUAGGGGUUCUGAGAGGAAGGUCCCCCACACUGGUACUGAGACACGGACCAGACUCCUACGGGAGGCAGCAGUGAGGAAUAUUGGUCAAUGGGCGUAAGCCUGAACCAGCCAAGUAAGCGUGCAGGAUGACGGCCCUAUGGGUUGUAAACUGCUUUUAUACGGGGAUAAAGUGAGGGACGUGUCCCUUAUUGUAGGUACCGUAUGAAUAAGGACCGGCUAAUUCCGUGCCAGCCGCCGC
RNAcentral lists this ribosomal RNA (520 nucleotides) under uncultured bacterium. RNAcentral describes it as "bacterial SSU rRNA". It matches the Rfam family "Bacterial small subunit ribosomal RNA", at positions 8 to 518 of the family's 1533-position model. The record is from RNAcentral.